RNAcentral lists this ribosomal RNA (467 nucleotides) under Veillonellaceae bacterium oral taxon 155. Its description in RNAcentral is "bacterial SSU rRNA". It matches the Rfam family "Bacterial small subunit ribosomal RNA", at positions 28 to 481 of the family's 1533-position model. The record is from RNAcentral. Lineage: Bacteria; Bacillati; Bacillota; Negativicutes; Veillonellales; Veillonellaceae.
GACGAACGCGGCGGCGUGCUUAACACAUGCAAGUCGAACGGAGCUAUUUAUUUCGGUAGAUAGCUUAGUGGCAAACGGGUGAGUAACGCGUAGGCAACCUGCCCUCAGGAUGGGGACAACGGCUCGAAAGAGCCGCUAAUACCGAAUGACGUAACUCUUCCACAUGGAAGAGAUACUAAAGAUGGGUCAAACCAUCGCCUAAGGAUGGGCCUGCGUCUGAUUAGCCAGUUGGUGAGGUAACGGCUCACCAAAGCGACGAUCAGUAGCCGGUCUGAGAGGAUGAACGGCCACAAUGGGACUGAGACACGGCCCAUACUCCUACGGGAGGCAGCAGUGGGGAAUCUUCCGCAAUGGGCGAAAGCCUGACGGAGCAACGCCGCGUGAGUGAAGAAGGUCUUCGGAUCGUAAAGCUCUGUUGUCGGGGACGAAAGGGUAGACGAGGUAAUGCGUUACUAAGACGGUACCCC